Molecule: non-coding RNA, 548 nt
Organism: Pelobates cultripes (western spadefoot toad)
Lineage: Eukaryota; Metazoa; Chordata; Amphibia; Anura; Pelobatidae
Source: the annotation of a GenBank genome assembly
GACUGAUGUAAUUCUAGAAAAAAAUCCAGACAUCUCCACAGGAAAAAAUGACUAUACUGUAUAUUCUGAAUACCCUCAAAAUAAAAGUCGCUUUACACUCAUCCAAUGACAUGAAACUCCAUAGAUAAGACUGGGUUUUAUAUUAUCUGACCCGUUUGAAGACGACAUAUAUUGACAUCUGAUAAUGGCCAACUGGCCCUUCAAUCUAACCAUUUCUAAGCUAAAGUAUAGACUUAAUUCCUGAAUUGUUUCUUUCUCAGAAUACCAACGCAUCCAAGCGUUCUUUGAUUUUUUGGUAGCUUUUUCUCUCCAGGAAGGUUAAUCUAUGCAUCAGAAGCUAUCGGUUAAGUUGGAAUUAUAGUGAAUCUAAAGUCAAAUGACAAAAUUUAAGUUAAAAUAGCUGAUAAUCACAGCUUGGUUAUAUUACCUUCAAUUUUGUAAUUUGAAUUUAAAUUCACCAUUAUUUGGACUUUGAAUAACCUUGUAUGUGUGUUGAAGUGAUGGAACUCUAUAUCUUUUGCACAAUCUGUUAUUCAUUUGCUAUAAAC